RNAcentral lists this ribosomal RNA (472 nucleotides) under uncultured bacterium. RNAcentral's name for it is "bacterial SSU rRNA". It matches the Rfam family "Bacterial small subunit ribosomal RNA", at positions 329 to 793 of the family's 1533-position model. The record is from RNAcentral.
CUACGCACUCCUACGGGAGGCAGCAGUGGGGAAGUAUUGCACAAUGGGCGCAAGCCUGAUGCAGCCAUGCCGCGUGUAUGAAGAAGGCCUUCGGGUUGUAAAGUACUUUCAGCAGUGAGGAAGGUGGGUAUGUUAAUAGCAUAUUCAUUUGACGUUAGCUGCAGAAGAAGCACCGGCUAACUCCGUGCCAGCAGCCGCGGUAAUACGGAGGGUGCGAGCGUUAAUCGGAAUUACUGGGCGUAAAGCGCAUGCAGGUGGUUUGUUAAGUCAGAUGUGAAAGCCCGGGGCUCAACCUCGGAAUUGCAUUUGAAACUGGCAAACUAGAGUACUGUAGAGGGGGUAGAAUUUCAGGUGUAGCGGUGAAAUGCGUAGAGAUCUGAAGGAAUACCGGUGGCGAAGGCGGCCCCCUGGACAGAUACUGACACUCAGAUGCGAAAGCGUGGGGAGCAAACAGGAUUAGAUACCCUGGUAG